UUGGUUUUGUUCAAGAGAUAAGGUUGCGGCUGGAACAGGGGAGUUAGAACGGCUUGAAUGCUCAUCCUUGGAGCUCGGGGAUGUUUCCGUUGGCUGGACGGGAAGGAAUCCGGAAGCAGAGGAGAGCUGAGAGAUCCGGGAUAAGGAUGAGUUCUAGAAUUGGUUCCGCUGAGAAGAACACGGAGAAGGAAGAUAACAUGCCCGAUGCUGGGGUUCGGAGAAGAACAUGGGACGUUGGGAUGCUGACGCGUGAAACUGGGGAGUUAAUUCAAAGAUGAGGAUGAAGCGGAUGAUGGGAUGAAGAUGGAGGAGAUGAAGCUUUGGAACGGCUGGCAGCUGGGACUUGAUCCUUGUGAACGGUGGGAUGUUUGACUUGCGGCUGGCAGUGGGAUGGGAACGUAUCACGAAUGGGAUGAACUGCAAGAUCUUGGAGGAUACUGAGCCGUUGGGAGGUGCCAGAUUCGGCUGGGAAAAUAAGCUUGAUUGUGCGUGGAGGAUGGCUGCUCCAUCUUUUCCGGAAGCAAAGGAACAACUUGAAACAGGGGAGGAUGGUCACGGUUGAAGGAAGAUGCCGGAGGAUAUGCGAACUGGAUGAAGAUGAAUCGCGGAAUCGUGGGAGGAGGUGAGAUGCUGGGUUGGUUCGGAAGAAGAGAAGAUGGAGAUGGAGCUAAUCAUGGAAAAACAUGGGAUCUGUUCGUGGCCG
RNAcentral lists this long non-coding RNA (703 nucleotides) under Phoenix dactylifera (date palm). RNAcentral describes it as "long non-coding RNA (PDAC_LNC018895)". Lineage: Eukaryota; Viridiplantae; Streptophyta; Magnoliopsida; Arecales; Arecaceae. The record is from RNAcentral.